Gopherus evgoodei (Goodes thornscrub tortoise) is the source of this 587-nucleotide non-coding RNA. NCBI's taxonomy places the organism in Eukaryota, Metazoa, Chordata, Testudines, Testudinidae. The record is from the annotation of a RefSeq genome assembly.
GUGUGACCACCUUGGUUUCUUGCAGGAGACUGAAAUCUUCUCACCAUGCUCUGGGCUCCCCUCGUCGUCCUGUUGGGGACGUGGUGCACAGCCUCCAGCGCCCAGCCUGUCCUGACUCAGCUGCCAUCCAUAGCCGCAUCCCCGGGACAGACAGUGAAAAUCUCCUGUUCCAUGAGCAGUGGGGUCAUGGUGCAGAGCUAUCCCCAGACCUGGCAGCAACAGACACCGGGCAGCCCUCUGCGAUACCUGCUCUCUUACUAUAGCAGCAUGAGCAGGGGUUCUGGGGUCCCCGACCGAUUCUCAGGGUCCAAGGAGAGCUCCAGCAACGUUUGGUAUUUGACCAUCACCAAUGUCCAGGCAGAGGACGAGGCUGAUUAUUACUGUGCUGUGUGGUAUGGCAGUGGGGGAGUGUCUCACAGUGAUACACCCACAUGGGGAAGUGAGACAGAAAUAUCCCCUGAGCAAAUCACAUCCUCCCAGGCCAGGGUCUGAGCUGGCAGCUGCUCUGGCUGCAGAGGGUGGGGUCUGGCUGUGACAUCGUCUGUCAAUACCAGAGACUUGACUGUGUGACGCUCACUGUGUCCCUG